RNAcentral lists this unclassified non-coding RNA (368 nucleotides) under soil metagenome. RNAcentral's name for it is "partial contains 5.8S ribosomal RNA, internal transcribed spacer 2, and large subunit ribosomal RNA". The stretch from base 1 to 120 matches the Rfam family "5.8S ribosomal RNA", at positions 35 to 154 of the family's 154-position model. The record is from RNAcentral.
GAUGAAGAACGUAGCGAACUGCGAUAAGUAAUGUGAAUUGCAGAAUUCAGUGAACCAUCGAAUCUUUGAACGCACAUUGCGCCCGGCAGUAAUCUGCCGGGCAUGCCUGUCCGAGCGUCAUUUCUGCCCUCGAGCGAGUCCAGCAUCUAGGUGCUGGGCCCGCCCGGCGUUGGGGCACUACGGGAAGCCCUGUGCUGUCCCCCGUAGGCCCCGAAAUGAAGUGGCGGUCCUGCCGCGGCGCCCCCUGCGUAGUAUAACAGCUCGCUUCGGGACCCGGUGGAGGCCUGCCGUCAAACCUUACUCUCUAAGUUUGACCUCGGAUCAGGUAGGGUUACCCGCUGAACUUAAGCAUAUCAAUAAGCGGAGGA